Molecule: ribosomal RNA, 253 nt
Filed under: uncultured bacterium
Lineage: Bacteria
Description: partial 16S ribosomal RNA
Rfam family: Bacterial small subunit ribosomal RNA
Source: RNAcentral
UACGUAGGGUGCGAGCGUUAAUCGGAAUUACUGGGCGUAAAGCGUGCGCAGGCGGUUCUUUAAGCCUGGUGUGAAAGCCCCGGGCUUAACCUGGGAAUGGCAUUUGGGACUGCAAGGCUUGAGUGCGGCAGAGGAGACUGGAAUUCCUGGUGUAGCAGUGAAAUGCGUAGAUAUCAGGAGGAAUACCGAUGGCGAAGGCAGGUCUCUGGGCUGACACUGACGCUCAUGCACGAAAGCGUGGGGAGCAAACAGG